RNAcentral lists this transfer RNA (63 nucleotides) under Fukomys damarensis (Damara mole-rat). It matches the Rfam family "tRNA", at positions 5 to 66 of the family's 71-position model. From Rfam's summary of the family: Transfer RNA (tRNA) molecules are approximately 80 nucleotides in length. Their secondary structure includes four short double-helical elements and three loops (D, anti-codon, and T loops). Lineage: Eukaryota; Metazoa; Chordata; Mammalia; Rodentia; Bathyergidae. The record is from Rfam by way of RNAcentral.
GUGUAGCUCAGUGGUAAAGUGUUUGCCUUUCAAGCUUGAGGCCCUGGGUUCAAUCCUCAGCAC